AUGGCUCGGAAGGGCUGGUCAGUAGCUGACUCAAACGCUAGGUGUGAUCUCUGCCCCGCCCUUGAAUCGGUUGAUCACUUGUUGCUUCGAUGCCGUCCGGUUAACGCCCUCUGGCAUAGGCUUCUGUUGGGUCCUUUGGCCCUUCACUCUCCUGAUAUCCAGUCUUUUGUUUGUCAGGCGGUGGAUCAGCUUGCUUUCAAGCAUAAAUGGAAUGUUACUUUUGCGGCUUGUGUUGUCACCGUCUGGCAAGCUAGGAACGAUCGACUUUCAACAACAAGUGCUGGACGGAGUCUUACAUUAGGUUCCAUGCAGCUGAUUUGA
This 321-nucleotide ribosomal RNA is filed under the name Triticum aestivum (bread wheat). RNAcentral's name for it is "partial small subunit ribosomal RNA". Lineage: Eukaryota; Viridiplantae; Streptophyta; Magnoliopsida; Poales; Poaceae. The record is from RNAcentral.